GACGAACGCUGGCGGCGUGCCUAACACAUGCAAGUCGAACGAAGCAUAGCAAUAUGCUUAGUGGCGGACGGGUGAGUAACGCGUGAACAAUCUGCCCUGUACAAAGGAAUAGCCUCGGGAAACCGGGAUUAAAACCGUAUGACACUUUAGUAUCGCGUGAUAAGAAAGUCAAAUCGAAUAGAGGUAUGGGAUGAGUUCGCGUCUGAUUAGCUGGUUGGCGGGGUAACGGCCCACCAAGGCGACGAUCAGUAGCCGGCCUGAGAGGGUGAACGGCCACACUGGAACUGAGACACGGUCCAGACUCCUACGGGAGGCAGCAGUGGGGAAUAUUGCACAAUGGAGGGAACUCUGAUGCAGCGACGCCGCGUGAGUGAAGAAGGUCUUCGGAUCGUAAAACUCUGUCCUUGGUGAAGAAAGGACGGUAGCCAAGGAGGAAGCCCCGGCUAACUACGUG
Molecule: ribosomal RNA, 454 nt
Filed under: uncultured bacterium
Lineage: Bacteria
Description: bacterial SSU rRNA
Rfam family: Bacterial small subunit ribosomal RNA
Source: RNAcentral